CAUAAAUCUGGCGAUAACAAAAUUCCUUUGUGAUUUCUACGUUUGUUAGCGUAUAGCACCUAAUUCCCUUCCCCUAAUCGUCACGUGAUAAAAGAUAAAUAUUAUCAUGAAUUGGAACUUGAUCAAAUACAUUUAUCGCAGGUAAACUCGCGCAUACCAAACCUUGCUAUUUGUACCAAUUCAUGAAGUAUAAUAUGAAACAAGCGUUGUGUUUCUGUUGUUACAAAGGUAACAAUGACAAAGACGCGAUAAUAUAUAAAAACAAAGGUGCAGGGGUCCAAGUUUCUAGGAACAGUGGAAGCUCUGCAUCAGAGGUGUACGAAAUGAGUACCAUCCCCAAUGGUAUUUCACCAAGAAUGAGGACGCAGUCUAAUUCGUCAACGUUUAGCGCCAAAUCGUUUUAUAGUGCCAAGUCUACAUUAACAAAUGAUGGGGAUUUUUACAGUGUGUGCAGUGGCGAUUCUGUCGAAACAUUUAAAAAUUCAAAUCUAAACAUUAAGUAAGUGAAUAUGGCUGAUUAAAAUUAAUACUCUUGUGAAUGUCCUAGGUAAAACUUCUACCUAUGUAGUUCACACGUUUUCGAUAUACGUUGCAAUCGAAGAUCUGAAAACUAUCAACACACUUAUCUAUGUUCAUAGUUCAAAAUCUUACCUACGUUCGUAAUAAUAGAUAGUAAUAAAUAUUGUGAUACAGGGAAUUAAAAGUGCAAAUGACUACAGAACAUGUUUGCAUAGACUAGCAUAUUGUAAACAGGCACUAUCUUAUAGUUGAAUCCUGACUGGGAGAUCUUCCUUUUCUGAAAUAGGUGUAUCUGUCUACCACGCUCAGUCCAAGGGAUUUUCUAAAAUUGUGUCGGCUCGGAUAUAUUUAUCUAUUUUGUUUUGAAUUAGUUACUUGUAAUAUAAUAGCAAAAGAAAUGGAAUUCAGAUUGCGUAGGUAGGCAGGUACAACAUACCUCGGUAUGUUUCUGAAGCGCUAGAUUAGUAGGUUCUAUUGAAUACUGUAUCAGUACCAAUCACGUAGAGUAGAAAGUGUCAUAUCAUUAUGGAACUUUCCAAAAGUCCCAAUAAUGGCCAAAUAAAUUACAAUUUAUGUACUUAUUUGCAUUAGGUUAAUUUUAAUUAAGUAGUAAUAAUUAAUUGUUAGAAUAGAUAUAUAAAGUUACAACAUUAGAAAUUUAUUAUUUUUGAA
Molecule: long non-coding RNA, 1191 nt
Organism: Photinus pyralis (common eastern firefly)
Lineage: Eukaryota; Metazoa; Arthropoda; Insecta; Coleoptera; Lampyridae
Exons: 2
Source: RefSeq, a predicted model, not a curated record